UGCGUAGGCGGAUCAAUAAGUCAGUGGUGAAAUCUCUCGGCUCAACCGGGAAACUGCCAUUGAUACUGUUGAUCUUGAGUUCGGUUGAGGUAGGCGGAAUGUGUAAUGUAGCGGUGAAAUGCUUAGAUAUUACACAGAACACCAAUUGCGUAGGCAGCUUACUAGUCCGACACUGACGCUGAGGCACGAAAGCGUGGGGAGCGAACAGGAUUAGAUACCCUGGUAGUCC
This 229-nucleotide ribosomal RNA is filed under the name uncultured bacterium. RNAcentral describes it as "partial 16S ribosomal RNA". It matches the Rfam family "Bacterial small subunit ribosomal RNA", at positions 568 to 796 of the family's 1533-position model. The record is from RNAcentral.